GUGAAUCAUCGAAUUUUUGAACGCAAAUUGCGCUUCCUGGCAUUCCGGGAAGUAUGCCUGUUUGAGGGUCAGUAUUAAUAUAACAUCGGUUUAGUUACAAAUUGUAACGUUUCCGGAGUUUGGGUUAUCUUUACAUUUUUGGUUUAGCGGAUUAAAAUUGACUUUUUAUGAGUAUUUUUAAAUGUACGUAAAUUUUUUUUAUUCGUCUAUUUUUAAUGUUAAAAUCUUAUUAUAUGCGAUCACAUUG
Molecule: unclassified non-coding RNA, 247 nt
Filed under: Glomeraceae sp.
Lineage: Eukaryota; Fungi; Glomeromycota; Glomeromycetes; Glomerales; Glomeraceae
Description: partial contains 5.8S ribosomal RNA and internal transcribed spacer 2
Rfam family: 5.8S ribosomal RNA (bases 1-71)
Source: RNAcentral